This 566-nucleotide ribosomal RNA is filed under the name Jaapia argillacea. RNAcentral's name for it is "eukaryotic LSU rRNA". The stretch from base 167 to 320 matches the Rfam family "5.8S ribosomal RNA". Lineage: Eukaryota; Fungi; Basidiomycota; Agaricomycetes; Jaapiales; Jaapiaceae. The record is from RNAcentral.
CGGGUUGUAGCUGGCCGAAAGGCAUGUGCACACCCUUAAACCAAACCAACCACCUGUGCACCUUUUGUAGGUUGGGUCUUCGGGCCCUUCCUAUGUAUCACACAAACCAAAUGUAUGUCUAUUGAAUGUAAUCCGAAGCGUGGCAACACGUUUUAAAACUUAAAACAACUUUCAACAACGGAUCUCUUGGCUCUCGCAUCGAUGAAGAACGCAGCGAAAUGCGAUAACUAAUGUGAAUUGCAGAAUUCAGUGAAUCAUCGAGUUUUUGAACGCACCUUGCGCUCCUUGGUAUUCCUUGGAGCAUGCCUGUUUGAGUGUCAUGAAAUUCUCAACUCUUCCAACCUUUGCUGGUCUGGUCGAGCUUGGACUUGGAGGUAUAUUGCUGGCCGCAAGGUCGGCUCCUCUUGAAUUUAUUAGCUGAACCCGCAGUGGAUCGGUUGCUCGGUUUGAUAACAAUGUCUAUGCCGUCUUCCGUGAAGCCUCGAAAGUGGGAUUCGCUUCCAAUCGUCUUCGGACAUUGCCUUCGGGCGAUCAUUGACCAUUUUGACCUCAAAUCAGGUAGGACU